RNAcentral lists this ribosomal RNA (253 nucleotides) under uncultured Eubacteriales bacterium. RNAcentral's name for it is "uncultured Clostridiales bacterium partial 16S ribosomal RNA". It matches the Rfam family "Bacterial small subunit ribosomal RNA", at positions 524 to 776 of the family's 1533-position model. Lineage: Bacteria; Bacillati; Bacillota; Clostridia; Eubacteriales. The record is from RNAcentral.
UACGGAGGAUGCGAGCGUUAUCCGGAUUUACUGGGUGUAAAGGGAGCGUAGACGGCAGGGCAAGUCUGGAGUGAAAGCCCGGGGCCCAACCCCGGGACUGCUUUGGAAACUGCCAAGCUAGAGUGUCGGAGAGGUAAGUGGAAUUCCUAGUGUAGCGGUGAAAUGCGUAGAUAUUAGGAGGAACACCAGUGGCGAAGGCGGCUUACUGGACGAUGACUGACGCUGAGGCUCGAAAGCGUGGGGAGCAAACAGG